This is a long non-coding RNA of Pseudopipra pipra, 2567 nucleotides long. RefSeq lists it as uncharacterized. The record is from RefSeq and is a predicted model, not a curated record. The transcript is spliced from 2 exons. NCBI's taxonomy places the organism in Eukaryota, Metazoa, Chordata, Aves, Passeriformes, Pipridae.
GCCUGAGGGAGCGCCACGGCCGCCCCUCACCGCCCGGGCCCCCGCGAUGUCAGCCCUCGCUGCAACAAGGAAGGGCUCGCCCGGCCCCAAGCCGGGUGGCCCCGGUGCUUCUGCACGACUCUGCCGAUAUAUUUCGCCUCUUCGGUGAAAUAUACCACUACGCCCUAGUGACCCAUCGUUCCCCACGCGGUGGCUCUCUACGUGGUAUCAAACACCUUGUUUCUUCCAGUGUAUCCAAAUGGUCUGAUAACAACAUUUUUUGAUGAUAAUCAACCAUCUAGUAACAAGCGUGGUGCAGGUAUUUGACAGUAAAAAUUAAAGCUACUUUUGCUUGCUCUCACUAGAGGUAUUCACCACCCACCACUGCCUGUGUUCCAGGCAGUGUUACCACAACUUCUGUGGCUUGGUUUCUAGAGCAAAAAUAUGCAUUUAUUAUUAUUAAUAUUUACUAAGCAUACAUUUUUAGCAAGUGUUCUCCAAUAUCUGGUUAAAAUGUGAAUACUUCUGCACAUAAACCUGUUUGCUACAAUAUUUGAGGAAAGCAAACACAAAUGUUCAGAACAUAAAACCAAAAAUUAUUUUAAAAAAUAUUUAAUAUUUUUGAGAGAUACUCUGUUCCAAUGACUAUAUUUGCAUAUUUGUAUUAGACCAAUAUGUUUUUAUUACCAACAUACUACAAAAUUUGAAUAAGCUUCCUGUGGUUUCAUGCUCAGUACAUUUCCCUUUGCAGAUCCAUAUACUGUUAGAGUUGUCCUUAAUUUCAUCCUGCUUUUAGAAAACUGUGUUGCCUUUUUUUCUGCUCAGGAGGAGCUGCCUGCACAUAUGUAGCCUAAUUCAAAACCCACUGAUGAUGAUAAUGAUGAGACUUUAGUGAAUUUUACUGUGCUUGGUGUUCAGCCCAUAAUAUUACACCACGCAGAUGGGCAAUAGUCCGAAUCACACCCAGUAUUCAAGGAUCUCCUAAAGAGCAAAACAUUGUCAUUGCUAUGUUACCACUGUGUUUGGAGCAGAAGGAUUUUGAGAUCAAAGACUCCUACAAACAUGAGUCUCAGUUUUUUGCUCUCUCAGUGCCACCCUUUUAACAAAUUCUGUAGCAAAUGGCAAAUUUAAAGCAGCUGAGAAUGAGGCUGUACUUUCAAUAAACAAAACUAAGUCUUGUGAAUUCUAAACAGUUCUGAAAAGACUAUGCUUCCUGGUGGAUCUGGCACCAAGAGCCAUUGCCAGGAAGAGGCCUUCUGCAGGUUAGGCAUAAAACUCGAGAUGCCUUUACAAUAGCUCAUCGCACAGAUGAGCUAUGGGAAUGAUCACAGGGCUGCCCAAAACUUUUUAUUUGGAAAAUUCUGAUGACUUUGCCCUAUCCUGUCUAUACAGGUUUGUAUUAUGUGUAUCCUUCUUUAUUAUACCAACAGAGUUUCCUUAAAAGCAGGACAACCAGGCCAGUCCCCGCGCCAAAAAGCUGAGGAAAUGGCUACUUAAUUGCUGCCAGCUUUGGAGGAAAGAAAAACUUGGAGGGUGGUCUUCUUUCCCUUGCAUAAAGUAGUCAGUUCACAGUUCACCAUGGAGUUAGAAGUGAUCACCCCUGAUGUGAGUCAGGUCUUAGUUCUCAUGGCCAAAACUGCAUAGUGAUGUAGAACACCUACUCCACUGAGCAUAAUACCUGGUGAGUGUGAAGGGGUCUCCAGAACUGCUCGCUGGCUUAGGUACACCAUAAUUUGACUGAUGACAAAAAGUAUGUCAGACAAGAUGUAGUGGUAUCUGAAUGAUCUCUCUUUAAGAAAAACAGAUGCACAAUGUAUUUCAUUCAAAGAGAAGCCAGGCAAAAUUAUGUUUAGGUUUUAUUUUGUUGCAACCAAGGACCUUCAACAUCUUUAUGAUUCUUGAUGUUUCAUUUUCAAUUGUAGGCUUUUAAAUAAUAGAAAAUAUUAGAAAUUGCCUCAGAAGACACUUUAAAGAUAUGGGAUGUCUACCCUUUGUGAUUUUUGAAAGGUUCUCUCAGGCUGAGAGGGACCCUGGGAGAAUACCUCAUCCAACCUCCUGGGUAACCAACAGGGAUAAAGGCUAAGAAGCUAGAUAGGAAGUAUCCAAAAUGUAAUAUAUUUUGACAUCACAUGGCUUUUAAACCAGUGUCACAAAAUUUUAAAAACCUAAUCCAUCAUCUUUGAACAGCUGAUGUUGACAAUACUGCUAAUGUUAAGUGGGUUUACACGUUCUGUGAGAUGCCUGUUACAUGCUGGUCUAUCUUCCAGUGCAGGCAAAUCAGUGUCAUAACUUGGUAGCUUUACCUUAUGUAAGUAAAGAAAAAGAACAAAACUACCAAACAGAAAAUCCCAUUAACUGUCUUUCAGAUCAGAUCAUGUACAUAAUCUCUACUGGACUGGCCCUUCACCAUGAGAACAAGUCUUAUUGAUCUGGCAUUGAUGUCUUCAAGUAAGAAAAUAUCAAAAUGCUUCAGUAGUCUUCUCACUAUAGAGUGGAAAGGAUGACAAUUCAUCAUUUACUUGAUUACUUUCAAGAAAGCAAUGAAAUGGCAUUAAAAAUUGUACUACAACAACUGCUAUUGUUUUGAA